Molecule: ribosomal RNA, 460 nt
Filed under: uncultured bacterium
Lineage: Bacteria
Description: partial 16S ribosomal RNA
Rfam family: Bacterial small subunit ribosomal RNA
Source: RNAcentral
CCUACGGGCGGCAGCAGUGAGGAAUAUUGGUCAAUGGACGAGAGUCUGAACCAGCCAAGUAGCGUGAAGGAUGACUGCCCUAUGGGUUGUAAACUUCUUUUAUACGGGGAUAAACCGAGGCACGUGUACCUUUUUGCAUGUACUUUAUGAAUAAGGAUCGGCUAACUCCGUGCCAGCAGCCGCGGUAAUACGGAGGAUCCGAGCGUUAUCCGGAUUUAUUGGGUUUAAAGGGAGCGUAGAUGGGUUGUUAAGUCAGUGGUGAAAUUCUGCGGCUCAACCGUAAAAUUGCAAUUGAUACUGGCAGUCUUGAGUAUAGUUGAGGUAGGCGGAAUUCGUGGUGUAGCGGUGAAAUGCUUAGAGAUCACGAAGAACCCCGAUUGCGAAGGCAGCUUACUAAACUGUGACUGACAUUGAUGCUCGAAAGCGUGGGUAUCAAACAGGAUUAGAUACCCCGGUAGUC